CCUACGGGAGGCAGCAGUGGGGAAUAUUGGACAAUGGGGGCAACCCUGAUCCAGCCAUGCCGCGUGUGUGAAGAAGGCCCUCGGGUUGUAAAGCACUUUCAGUGAGGAAGAACGCCUGGUGGUUAAUACCCAUCAGGAAAGACAUCACUCACAGAAGAAGCACCGGCUAACUCCGUGCCAGCAGCCGCGGUAAUACGGAGGGUGCGAGCGUUAAUCGGAAUUACUGGGCGGAAAGCGCGCGUAGGUGGCUUGAUAAGCCGGUUGUGAAAGCCCCGGGCUCAACCUGGGAACGGCAUCCGGAACUAUCAAGCUAGAGUGCAGGAGAGGAAGGUAGAAUUCCCGGUGUAGCGGUGAAAUGCGUAGAGAUCGGGAGGAAUACCAGUGGCGAAGGCGGCCUUCUGGACUGACACUGACACUGAGGUGCGAAAGCGUGGGUAGCAAACAGGAUUAGAUACCCGUGUAGUC
RNAcentral lists this ribosomal RNA (465 nucleotides) under Vreelandella stevensii. Its description in RNAcentral is "partial 16S ribosomal RNA". It matches the Rfam family "Bacterial small subunit ribosomal RNA", at positions 338 to 795 of the family's 1533-position model. The record is from RNAcentral. Lineage: Bacteria; Pseudomonadati; Pseudomonadota; Gammaproteobacteria; Oceanospirillales; Halomonadaceae.